RNAcentral lists this ribosomal RNA (500 nucleotides) under uncultured bacterium. Its description in RNAcentral is "partial 16S ribosomal RNA". It matches the Rfam family "Bacterial small subunit ribosomal RNA", at positions 30 to 523 of the family's 1533-position model. The record is from RNAcentral.
AUUGAACGCUGGCGGAAUGCUUUACACAUGCAAGUCGAACGGCAGCACGGACUUCGGUCUGGUGGCGAGUGGCGAACGGGUGAGUAAUGUAUCGGAACGUGCCCAGUCGUGGGGGAUAACGUAGUGAAAAUCACGCUAAUACCGCAUACGAUCUAUGGAUGAAAGCGGGGGAUCGCAAGACCUCGCUCGAUUGGAGCGGGCGAUAUCAGAUUAGGUAGUUGGUGGGGUAAAGGCCCACCAAGCCAACGAUCUGUACCUGGUCUGAGAGGACGACCAGCCACACUGGAACUGAGACACGGUCCAGACUCCUAAGGGAGGCAGCAGGGGGGAAUUUUGGACAAUGGGCGAAAGCCAGAUCCAGCCAUUCCGCGUGCAGGAUGAAGGCCCUCGGGUUGUAAACUGCUUUUGUACAGAACGAAAAGGUUUCUACUAAUACUAGGAGCUCAUGACGGUACUGUAAGAAUAAGCACCGGCUAACUACGUGCCAGCCGCCGCCGUAA